RNAcentral lists this ribosomal RNA (334 nucleotides) under uncultured eukaryote. Its description in RNAcentral is "SSU rRNA". It matches the Rfam family "Eukaryotic small subunit ribosomal RNA", at positions 594 to 945 of the family's 1831-position model. The record is from RNAcentral.
AUAGCGUAUAUUAAAGUUGUUGCAGUUAAAAAGCUCGUAGUUGAAUUUCUGGCCAAUCUCAUGCUGCGCUUCUAGCCGGUAUGAGGUUUGGUCAUCCGUAAGGGAAGCUAGUACGAACUUCAAUGGUCGGCUAGGGGAACUUACAAUUUACUGUGAAAAAAUUAGAGUGUUUCAGGCAGGCAAUCGCUUGGAUACUCCAGCAUGGAAUAAUGGAAUAGGACUUUGGUCUAUUUGUUGGUUUGAGAUCAAAGUAAUGAUUAAUAGGGACAGUUGGGGGCAUUCGUAUUUAAUUGUCAGAGGUGAAAUUCUUGGAUUUAUUAAAGACGGACUUAUG